GUGCCAGCAGCCGCGGUAAUUCCAGCUCCAAUAGCGUAUAUUAAAGUUGUUGUGGUUAAAAAGCUCGUAGUUGAACCUUGGGCCUGGCUGGCCGGUCCGCCUCACCGCGUGCACUGGUCCGGCCGGGCCUUUCCCUCUGUGGAACCCCAUACCCUUCACUGGGCGUGGCGGGGAAACAGGACAUUUACUUUGAAAAAAUUAGAGUGCUCCAGGCAGGCCUAUGCUCGAAUACAUUAGCAUGGAAUAAUAAAAUAGGACGCGCGGUUCUAUUUUGUUGGUUUAUAGGACCGCCGUAAUGAUUAAUAGGGACGGUCGGGGGCAUCAGUAUUCAACUGUCAGAGGUGAAAUUCUUGGAUCAGUUGAAGACUAACUACUGCGAAAGCAUUUGCCAAGGAUGUUUUCAUUAAUCAGGAACGAAAGUUAGGGGAUCGAAGACGAUCAGAUACCGUCGUAGUCUUAACCAUAAACUAUGCCGACUAGGGAUCGGACGGUGUUAUUCAUGACCCGUUCGGCACCUUACGAGAAAUCAAAGUGCUUGGGCUCCAGGGGGAGUAUGGUCGCAAGGCUGAAACUUAAAGAAAUUGACGGAAGGGCACCACCAGGGGUGGAGCCUGCGGCUUAAUUUGACUCAACACGGGGAAACUCACCAGGUCCAGACACAAUAAGGAUUGACAGAUUGAGAGCUCUUUCUUGAUUUUGUGGGUGGUGGUGCAUGGCCGUUCUUAGUUGGUGGGGUGACUUGUCUGCCUAAUUGCGAUAACGAACGAGACCUUAACCUGCUAAAUAGCCCGCAUUGCUCCGGCAGUGCGCUGGCUUCUUAGAGGGACUUUCGGCUCAAGCCGAAGGAAGGUUG
This 853-nucleotide ribosomal RNA is filed under the name uncultured fungus. RNAcentral describes it as "SSU rRNA". It matches the Rfam family "Eukaryotic small subunit ribosomal RNA", at positions 564 to 1447 of the family's 1831-position model. The record is from RNAcentral. Lineage: Eukaryota; Fungi.